Molecule: ribosomal RNA, 235 nt
Filed under: uncultured bacterium
Lineage: Bacteria
Description: partial 16S ribosomal RNA
Rfam family: Bacterial small subunit ribosomal RNA
Source: RNAcentral
CGAACGGGUGCGGAACACGUGAGCAACCUGCCCCGGAGACCGGGAUAACAGCGGGAAACUGCUGCUAAUACCGGAUGUCCCCACCGGUCCCGCAUGGGACUGUGAGGAAAGGAUUCCGCUUCGGGAGGGGCUCGCGGCCUAUCAGCUUGUUGGUGAGGUAACGGCUCACCAAGGCGACGACGGGUAGCUGGUCUGAGAGGAUGGCCAGCCACACGGGCACUGAGACACGGGCCCG